Molecule: ribosomal RNA, 43 nt
Filed under: Saccharomyces cerevisiae (brewer's yeast)
Lineage: Eukaryota; Fungi; Ascomycota; Saccharomycetes; Saccharomycetales; Saccharomycetaceae
Description: partial 28S ribosomal RNA
Source: RNAcentral
UGACUCCAUAUCAUGUAGGAGUACCCGCUGAACUUAAGCAUAC